This is an RNA transcript of Cynara cardunculus var. scolymus (artichoke), 1208 nucleotides long. It is a transcript of the gene named mitochondrial inner membrane protease atp23, with no coding region annotated. The record is from RefSeq and is a predicted model, not a curated record. The transcript has 8 exons. NCBI's taxonomy places the organism in Eukaryota, Viridiplantae, Streptophyta, Magnoliopsida, Asterales, Asteraceae.
CAAAAUGGCACCGGGAUCCGCUUCUGAACCGGCCUCCGGCAAUAGCGUCUCGUCCGCCGCUAACGGCGGCAUGACGGUGGCCGAGUGCGAAAAUAUGAUCCAAAGAAGCCUUCGAACUCCGAUGGUGAAGUUUUUGAAGGAGCAUUUGGAGAAAGGUGGAUGUAAUAUUGCCUCCAACUUCAUAAAGGCCAUCAACUGCGACCAGCGGAUGAGCGGUGGUUAUGUUCGUGGAGAAGGGAUAGUGGUAUGUAGUAAUUACAUGAACAUUCAAGAUGAGGUCAAUCAAGUUGUCAUCCACGAGCUGAUUCAUGCAUAUGAUGACUGUCGAGCUGCAAACUUGGAUUGGACUAAUUGUGCUCAUCAUGCCUGUAGUGAGAUCCGAGCUGGCCAUCUUAGCGGUGACUGCCACUAUAAGAGGGAACUAUUGCGAGGCUUUGUCAAAUUAAGAGGCCAUGAACAAGACUGUGUGAGAAGAAGAGUGAUGAAGUCAUUGGCGAAUAACCCCUACUGUUCAGAAGCAGCUGCUAAGGAUGCAAUGGAAGCUGUUUGGGACACAUGCUAUAAUGAUACAAAACCAUUUGACAGAGCCCCUUGAGAAUUCCAUAUUUGAUAGCAAUUUCCCCAUAUUUAUUCAAAAUAUGUAGCUUUAAGAAGACUAAACAUUGCCCUCCUUGGUGGGGGAUCAACAUAGCGACGAUAUUCAAGGUUCUAUUGAGGUGGACUGAUGACCUUUAUUUAUUAUCUUUGAAAAUGGGCCCAUCAUUGUUGGAUUUUUUAAUUCAAGUAAACAUCAAACUGUGUUUUUAGGUAGUUUGAAAGGGACUGCCAUAACGGAAACCGAAGACAGAGCUCCAGGUGGUGGGGCAGGGAUGCUGAAACUGCAAAUGGAUCAUCAAAUCACGGGGAAAGGAGUGGAUGGCGGCAGCGGUGAUAGACAUAACAGGUGGUGGUCGGAGGAAGAUUAUUCUUUACCUCAUCGCCGUAUUCCCGUACACAAUAAUCUCGAUCCAUAAUGAAUGUUUUGAUCUCGUUCUAAGCCGUCCGUUUGUUUCGUGGCUUGCUGCAUAUGGGCUAUGGCUAGCCACCAAUCCAUGCGUGUUUUGGAAUAUACAUAUUUUGAGAAGCAUCAAGUACUGUAAUUAGUAGCGAAAUUAAGUUGAUUAAUCAUCCCAAAUUAACGGUGUAAGCGGUUCUAAUAAUUUAUAACA